CGCCCUUAGAGUUUGAUCCUGGCUCAGAUUGAACGCUGGCGGCAGGCUUAACACAUGCAAGUCGAACGGUAAAGUAGCUUGCUACUUACGAGUGGCGGACGGGUGAGUAACGUAUGGGAAUUUACCGAAUGGAGGGGGACAACAGUUGGAAACGGCUGCUAAUACCGCAUAACGUCGAGAGACCAAAGGGUUUCGACUUGCCAUUUGAUGAGCCCAUAUGAGAUUAGCUAGUUGGUGUGGUAAUGGCUCACCAAGGCGACGAUCUCUAGCUGGUUUGAGAGGAUGACCAGCCACACUGGGACUGAGACACGGCCCAGACUCCUACGGGAGGCAGCAGUGGGGAAUAUUGCACAAUGGGGGGAACCCUGAUGCAGCCAUGCCGCGUGUAUGAAGAAGGCCUUGGGGUUGUAAAGUACUUUCGUGGAGGAGGAAGGGUUUACGUAAUCGUGGACAUUGACGUUACUUCAGGAAGAAGCACCGGCUAACUCGUGCCAGCAGCCGCGGUAAUACGGAGGGUGCGAGCGUUAAUC
This 530-nucleotide ribosomal RNA is filed under the name uncultured Enterobacteriaceae bacterium. Its description in RNAcentral is "bacterial SSU rRNA". It matches the Rfam family "Bacterial small subunit ribosomal RNA", at positions 1 to 546 of the family's 1533-position model. Lineage: Bacteria; Pseudomonadati; Pseudomonadota; Gammaproteobacteria; Enterobacterales; Enterobacteriaceae. The record is from RNAcentral.